Molecule: unclassified non-coding RNA, 347 nt
Filed under: uncultured fungus
Lineage: Eukaryota; Fungi
Description: partial contains 5.8S ribosomal RNA and internal transcribed spacer 2
Rfam family: 5.8S ribosomal RNA (bases 1-133)
Source: RNAcentral
UGGUUCUGGCAUCGAUGAAGAACGCAGCGAAAUGCGAUAAGUAAUGUGAAUUGCAGAAUUCAGUGAAUCAUCGAAUCUUUGAACGCACAUUGCGCCCGCCAGCAUUCUGGCGGGCAUGCCUGUUCGAGCGUCAUUUCAACCCCUCGGGCCCUGGUGCCCGGCGUCGGGGCUCUCCCCAGCGGGAGGCCCCCAGAGACAGUGGCGGACCCGCCGCGGCUCCGAGCGUAGUAGUAAAAUUCUCGCUUAGGAGGCCCGCGGGGGGCUCCCGGCCGUAAAACCCGCCCGGCGCCUUCGGGCGCUGGCCGCAUCACAAGGUUGACCUCGGAUCAGGUAGGAAUACCCGCUGA